CCGACAAGCGGAGGAGCAUUGUGGUUUAAUUCGAUGAUACGCGAGGAACCUUACCUGGGCUUUGAACGUAUGGUGCAUUAGGGUGAAAGCCCUAUUUCUAGCAAUAGACUUCAUACGAGGUGCUGCAUGGCUGUCGUCAGCUCGUGCCGUGAGGUGUUAGGUUAAGUCCUGCAACGAGCGCAACCCCUGUUUCCAGUUGCCAUCAAGUAAAGUUGGGGACUCUGGAGAGACUGCCUGCGCAAGCAGAGAGGAAGUGGGGAUGACGUCAAGUCAGCACGGCCCUUACGUCCAGGGCUACACACGUGCUACAAUGGCCGGUACAGAGGGCAGCGACCUGGUGACAGGUAGCGAAUCUCCAAAGCCGGUCUCAGUUCGGAUCGGAGUCUGCAACUCGACUCCGUGAAGCUGGAUUCGCUAGUAAUCGGAUAUCAGCAAUGAUCCGGUGAAUACGUUCCCGGGCCUU
RNAcentral lists this ribosomal RNA (463 nucleotides) under uncultured Bacteroidales bacterium. Its description in RNAcentral is "bacterial SSU rRNA". It matches the Rfam family "Bacterial small subunit ribosomal RNA", at positions 921 to 1382 of the family's 1533-position model. The record is from RNAcentral. Lineage: Bacteria; Pseudomonadati; Bacteroidota; Bacteroidia; Bacteroidales.